Hippocampus zosterae (dwarf seahorse) is the source of this 891-nucleotide long non-coding RNA. RefSeq lists it as uncharacterized. Lineage: Eukaryota; Metazoa; Chordata; Actinopteri; Syngnathiformes; Syngnathidae. The transcript has 3 exons. The record is from RefSeq and is a predicted model, not a curated record.
GGUUGCUUUUCAUGGCCUUUUUUUUUUCAAGCGGCGGCGGCGGAGAUGGCAAACGUUACUGCUCGUCCACAACUAAACAAUGAGCGAAUCCAGUCAAGCCUGAGUCGUUUGUCAACUCUUUGGCUGUCAAAAGACCACAUGGCCAUGCGUCAGGUGGCAACAGAUGGCACUGGAUCUGGAAAGGAGCCUUUCGACGAAAUUGAGCGAUUGGGGACGGCUUUGUCCACCCAACAGAGGGACUAUUUCAGCAGCAAUAUAAAUCCAGUCCUGCGGGGGAGAAAUCUCAUGCGAUCACAUGUGGCCCCACAAAAACAAAGAAGAUCAGACAUGUCACUUGCGGCCAUGUGUUGAGCGUUUCCCCGAGAGGACCGACAACAUCCCGUGUGGUCAAGAAAAGACGUUUCUUGGAUGAUCUGUUCUGCCACUCGGAGAACGCUACCUUUUUUCCUCAAGACGCAUCAGAGUGACAGGCUCGUGACAGUGGGGAUCUCCAAAGGUGGCGUAUCAAGGCGGGAGCCACAUGAAAAUAUACGUAAGCCAAGAUCCCGACUUUGGAGGAGGCUUGAGGGGCGGCUGGAGGCCAAACCCAAACAAACUUUCAUGUUGCCGUGACAGGAUGGCAGACAGACAGCUUGGGGAAGACGGCAGGACGUCAACAUGUCUGCCAGUGGGUGGAAAAUGUUGAUUCAUAAGGGGAACACCCCCCGCCCCCAAAAAAAAAACUAUUCUGAUUCAUUCGAUUGGACAAAAGUAUUUGGACAUACUGAGGAAGUCAAAUGUGAAAUUGUUCCUUCCCACUUUUCAAGUCAAAUCUAUCAAUGUUUUGUGUCACCUGGACCAUUUUUAGCACUAUUUUUUAUGAAAAUAGAGCAAUCAUGGCAAAAUAUUUAA